GACGAACGCUGGCGGCGUGCCUAAUACAUGCAAGUCGAACGCAGUGGGGACGGGUGAGUAACACGUGGGUAACCUCCCAUCAGAGGGGAUAACACUUGGAAACAGGUGCUAAACCGAUACUGAUGGAUGGACCCGCGGUGCAUUAGCUAGUUGGUGCGGUAACGGCUCCCCAAGGCCACGAGGCAUAGCCGACCUGAGAGGGUGAUCGGCCAAACUGGUACGUGUACAAGGCCCAGACGCCUACGGGAGGCAGCAGGAGGGAAUCUUCGGCAAUGUACGAAAGUCUGACCGAGCAACGCCGCGUGAGUGAAGAAGGUUUUCGGAUCGUAAAACUCUGUUGUUAGAGAAGCGGUAUCUAACCAGAAAGCCACGGCUAACUACGUGCCAGCAGCCGCGGUAAUUC
RNAcentral lists this ribosomal RNA (403 nucleotides) under uncultured bacterium. RNAcentral's name for it is "partial 16S ribosomal RNA". It matches the Rfam family "Bacterial small subunit ribosomal RNA", at positions 28 to 526 of the family's 1533-position model. The record is from RNAcentral.